RNAcentral lists this ribosomal RNA (326 nucleotides) under uncultured microorganism. RNAcentral's name for it is "bacterial SSU rRNA". It matches the Rfam family "Bacterial small subunit ribosomal RNA", at positions 9 to 342 of the family's 1533-position model. The record is from RNAcentral.
GAGUUUGAUCUUGGCUCAGAUUGAACGCUGGCGGCAUGCUUUACACAUGCAAGUCGAACGGCAGCGCGGGCAACCUGGCGGCGAGUGGCGAACGGGUGAGUAAUAUAUCGGAACGUACCCAAGAGUGGGGAUAACGUAGCGAAAGUUACGCUAAUACCGCAUACGAUCUAAGGAUGAAAGUGGGGAUCGCAAGACCUCAUGCUCCUGGAGCGGCCGAUAUCUGAUUAGCUAGUUGGUGAGGUAAAGGCUCACCAAGGCGACGAUCAGUAGCUGGUCUGAGAGGACGACCAGCCACACUGGAACUGAGACACGGUCCAGACUCCUAC